GACGAACGCUGGCGGCGUGCCUAACACAUGCAAGUCGAACGGAAAGGCCCUGCUUUUGUGCGGUGCCCGAGGGCCGAACGCGUGAGUAUGACGUGUGUAUCCUGCCCUUAUCUUUCGGGUAACUUCACGUAACGGGAGCUACUAUCGGAUAGGAUAUCAUGCACCACGGUGAGCGUUGGAAAGUUGCGGCUGUUGGGGCUGGACUCGCCGCUUAUGAGCUUGUUGGUGGGGUAGGGGCUUGCCAAGCCUUGGACGGGUCGGCGGCCUGGGAGGGUGGCCGGCGACAAUGGGACUGAGGUAGGGCCCAGACUCCUACGGGAGGCAGCGGUGGGGAAUCUUGCACAAUGGCCGGAAGCCUGAUGCAGAGACGCCGCGUGCGGAAUGACGGCCUUCGGGUUGUAAACCGCUUUCGCCUGUGACGAAGCGUGAGUGACGGUAAUGGGUAAAGAAGCAACGGCUAACUACGUG
Molecule: ribosomal RNA, 468 nt
Filed under: uncultured bacterium
Lineage: Bacteria
Description: partial 16S ribosomal RNA
Rfam family: Bacterial small subunit ribosomal RNA
Source: RNAcentral